UACGUAGGGAGCAAGCGUUGUCCGGAAUUACUGGGCGUAAAGGGUGCGUAGGCGGUAUGGCAAGUCAGAUGUGAAAUCCCCGGGCUUAACUCGGGUGGUGCAUUUGAAACUGCUGUACUUGAGUGCAGGAGAGGAAAGCGGAAUUCCUAGUGUAGCGGUGAAAUGCGUAGAUAUUAGGAGGAACACCAGUGGCGAAGGCGGCUUUCUGGACUGUAACUGACGCUGAGGCACGAAAGCGUGGGGAGCAAACAGG
This 253-nucleotide ribosomal RNA is filed under the name uncultured bacterium. RNAcentral describes it as "partial 16S ribosomal RNA". It matches the Rfam family "Bacterial small subunit ribosomal RNA", at positions 524 to 776 of the family's 1533-position model. The record is from RNAcentral.